Molecule: long non-coding RNA, 337 nt
Filed under: Homo sapiens (human)
Lineage: Eukaryota; Metazoa; Chordata; Mammalia; Primates; Hominidae
Description: HSALNT0130889
Source: RNAcentral
CUCUUUCUUCUGAUCUUCGUUCUCAGCUCUCACCAAACUGGCUUAGAGACUUCACUAGGAAGAUGUGUCCUCCGCCAUCCCAGAAUUCUACAGUCCUUCCACCUGGCUGCCCACUGGGAGGACAGAUGACAGGAAAGGAAAGAGCUCUGCUGACGGUCGGAAGGUAACGUAGUACCAUCCUCUAUGAGGGAUAUAUUUAGGGACCCUCAACUGUAUCUAUUUUACCUUUUUAAAGGAUAAACUAAUGGUCUUACAUGUUGAAAUAGUACUCACAGAAAUUAAUUCCUUAUAACCUAUAACAUUCUUCAUUGUAUCUAUUAAAUAUGAUUGGUUUUGG